RNAcentral lists this ribosomal RNA (501 nucleotides) under uncultured bacterium. RNAcentral describes it as "bacterial SSU rRNA". It matches the Rfam family "Bacterial small subunit ribosomal RNA", at positions 28 to 534 of the family's 1533-position model. The record is from RNAcentral.
GACGAACGCUGGCGGCGUGCCUAACACAUGCAAGUCGAACGGGAUCCAUGGAGUGCUUGCACUCCGGAAGAUCUAGUGGCGAACGGGUGAGUAACACGUGAGAAACCUGCCCCAGACUCUGGGAUAACCUCGGGAAACCGAAGCUAAUACCGGAUAUUCUCCUUUGGUCGCAUGGCCAGUUGAGGAAAGUUUUUCGGUCUGGGAGGGUCUCGCGGCCUAUCAGCUAGUUGGUGGGGUAACGGCCCACCAAGGCUACGACGGGUAGCUGGUCUGAGAGAACGAUCAGCCACACUGGAACUGAGACACGGUCCAGACUCCUACGGGAGGCAGCAGUGGGGAAUCUUGCGCAAUGGGCGAAAGCCUGACGCAGCAACGCCGCGUGCGGGAUGAAGGCCUUCGGUUGUAAACCGCUUCUAGCAGGGACGGAAAAUAGACGGUACCGUGCAGAAGAAGACCCGGCCGUAACUACGUGCCACGCAGCCGCGGUAACAACGACGAGUA